This 498-nucleotide ribosomal RNA is filed under the name uncultured bacterium. Its description in RNAcentral is "bacterial SSU rRNA". It matches the Rfam family "Bacterial small subunit ribosomal RNA", at positions 97 to 591 of the family's 1533-position model. The record is from RNAcentral.
GGCGGACGGGUGAGUAAUGCCUAGGAAUCUGCCUGAUAGUGGGGGACAACGUUUCGAAAGGAACGCUAAUACCGCAUACGUCCUACGGGAGAAAGCAGGGGACCUUCGGGCCUUGCGCUAUCAGAUGAGCCUAGGUCGGAUUAGCUAGUUGGUGAGGUAACGGCUCACCAAGGCGACGAUCCGUAACUGGUCUGAGAGGAUGAUCAGUCACACUGGAACUGAGACACGGUCCAGACUCCUACGGGAGGCAGCAGUGGGGAAUAUUGGACAAUGGGCGAAAGCCUGAUCCAGCCAUGCCGCGUGUGUGAAGAAGGUCUUCGGAUUGUAAAGCACUUUAAGUUGGGAGGAAGGGCAUUAACCUAAUACGUUAGUGUUUUGACGUUACCGACAGAAUAAGCACCGGCUAACUUCGUGCCAGCAGCCGCGGUAAUACGAAGGGUGCAAGCGUUAAUCGGAAUUACUGGGCGUAAAGCGCGCGUAGGUGGUUUGUUAAGUUGA